GACGAACGCUGGCGGCGUGCUUAACACAUGCAAGUCGAACGGAAAGGCCCUGCUUGCAGGGUACUCGAGUGGCGAACGGGUGAGUAACACGUGGGUGAUCUGCCCUGCACUUCGGGAUAAGCCUGGGAAACUGGGUCUAAUACCGGAUAGGAGCCAUUUUUAGUGUGAUGGUUGGAAAGUUUUUUCGGUGUAGGAUGAGCUCGCGGCCUAUCAGCUUGUUGGUGGGGUAAUGGCCUACCAAGGCGGCGACGGGUAGCCGGCCUGAGAGGGUGGACGGCCACAUUGGGACUGAGGUACGGCCCAGACUCCUAAGGGAGGCAGCAGUGGGGAAGAUUGCACAAUGGGCGCAAGCCUGAUGCAGCGACGCCGCGGGGGGGAGGACGGCCUUCGGGUUGUAAACUCCUUUCGCUAGGGACGAAGCUUUUUGUGACGGUACCUAGAGAAGAAGCACCGGCUAACUACGUG
This 465-nucleotide ribosomal RNA is filed under the name uncultured bacterium. RNAcentral describes it as "partial 16S ribosomal RNA". It matches the Rfam family "Bacterial small subunit ribosomal RNA", at positions 28 to 507 of the family's 1533-position model. The record is from RNAcentral.